GGGCGGUUGGCGCAGCGGUAGCGCGCUUCCCUGACACGGAAGAGGUCACAGGUUCGAUCCCUGUACCGCCCACCA
Molecule: transfer RNA, 75 nt
Filed under: Geodermatophilaceae bacterium
Lineage: Bacteria; Bacillati; Actinomycetota; Actinomycetes; Geodermatophilales; Geodermatophilaceae
Also listed under: 1 other name
Description: tRNA-Val
Rfam family: tRNA
About the family: Transfer RNA (tRNA) molecules are approximately 80 nucleotides in length. Their secondary structure includes four short double-helical elements and three loops (D, anti-codon, and T loops). Further hydrogen bonds mediate the characteristic L-shaped molecular structure. tRNAs have two regions of fundamental functional importance: the anti-codon, which is responsible for specific mRNA codon recognition, and the 3' end, to which the tRNAs corresponding amino acid is attached (by aminoacyl-tRNA synthetases). tRNAs cope with the degeneracy of the genetic code in two manners: having more than one tRNA (with a specific anti-codon) for a particular amino acid; and 'wobble' base-pairing, i.e. permitting non-standard base-pairing at the 3rd anti-codon position.
Source: RNAcentral